AUCAGGAAGUGUGUCCCUCGCCUGUAAUCCAAGUUACCGGGAGGCUGAGGCUGGAGGAGCGUUUGAGCUCAGGAGCUCUGGGCUGCAGCGGACUAUGUCGAUCGGGUGUCCGCACUAAGUUCGGUAUCGAUAUGGUGCUCCGGGGGAAGCCCGGGAUCACCAGGUCGUCUAAGGAGGGGUGCACCGGCCCAGGUCGGACACGGAGCAGGUCAAAGCCCCCGAGAAUAGACGCUAUAAGACAGCGGGACUCAGUCUUUAUGCUGCCACUGUUACACCCUGAAACAUGGAAAAUGAAU
Unclassified non-coding RNA from Echeneis naucrates (live sharksucker), 296 nucleotides. It matches the Rfam family "Metazoan signal recognition particle RNA". Rfam says of the family: The signal recognition particle (SRP) is a universally conserved ribonucleoprotein. It is involved in the co-translational targeting of proteins to membranes. NCBI's taxonomy places the organism in Eukaryota, Metazoa, Chordata, Actinopteri, Carangiformes, Echeneidae. The record is from Ensembl.